UAAACAACCUGCCUUCAGGAUGGGGACAACAGACGGAAACGACUGCUAAUACCGAAUAAGUUCCAAGAGCCGCAUGGCCCAUGGAAGAAAAGGUGGCCUCUACCUGUAAGCUAUCGCCUGAAGAGGGGUUUGCGUCUGAUUAGCUGGUUGGAGGGGGUAACGGCCCACCAAGGCGACGAUCAGUAGCCGGUCUGAGAGGAUGAACGGCCACACUGGAACUGAGACACGGUCCAGACUCCUACGGGAGGCAGCAUG
Molecule: ribosomal RNA, 255 nt
Filed under: uncultured bacterium
Lineage: Bacteria
Description: partial 16S ribosomal RNA
Rfam family: Bacterial small subunit ribosomal RNA
Source: RNAcentral